Molecule: ribosomal RNA, 947 nt
Filed under: Virgibacillus sp.
Lineage: Bacteria; Bacillati; Bacillota; Bacilli; Caryophanales; Bacillaceae
Description: bacterial SSU rRNA
Rfam family: Bacterial small subunit ribosomal RNA
Source: RNAcentral
GUCGAGCGCGGGAAGCAGGCAGAUCCUCUUCGGAGGUGACGCUUGUGGAACGAGCGGCGGACGGGUGAGUAACACGUGGGCAACCUGCCUGUAAGAUUGGGAUAACCCCGGGAAACCGGGGCUAAUACCGGAUAAUACUUUUCGUUGCAUAACGAGAAGUUGAAAGGCGGCUUUUAGCUGUCACUUACAGAUGGGCCCGCGGCGCAUUAGCUAGUUGGUAAGGUAACGGCUUACCAAGGCGACGAUGCGUAGCCGACCUGAGAGGGUGAUCGGCCACACUGGGACUGAGACACGGCCCAGACUCCUACGGGAGGCAGCAGUAGGGAAUCUUCCGCAAUGGACGAAAGUCUGACGGAGCAACGCCGCGUGAGUGAUGAAGGUUUUCGGAUCGUAAAACUCUGUUGUCAGGGAAGAACAAGUGCCGUUCAAAUAGGGCGGCACCUUGACGGUACCUGACCAGAAAGCCCCGGCUAACUACGUGCCAGCAGCCGCGGUAAUACGUAGGGGGCAAGCGUUGUCCGGAAUUAUUGGGCGUAAAGCGCGCGCAGGCGGUCCUUUAAGUCUGAUGUGAAAGCCCACGGCUUAACCGUGGAGGGCCAUUGGAAACUGGAGGACUUGAGUACAGAAGAGGAGAGUGGAAUUCCACGUGUAGCGGUGAAAUGCGUAGAGAUGUGGAGGAACACCAGUGGCGAAGGCGACUCUCUGGUCUGUAACUGACGCUGAGGUGCGAAAGCGUGGGGAGCGAACAGGAUUAGAUACCCUGGUAGUCCACGCCGUAAACGAUGAGUGCUAGGUGUUAGGGGGUUUCCGCCCCUUAGUGCUGAAGUUAACGCAUUAAGCACUCCGCCUGGGGAGUACGGCCGCAAGGCUGAAACUCAAAAGAAUUGACGGGGGCCCGCACAAGCGGUGGAGCAUGUGGUUAAUUCGAAGCACGCGAAAACCUUACC